AUGUGACCACCUCACAGUUUGGAUCCAGCUACCUGGCCUGCCAUAUACACCCACAAACAUCCCACUUACUGGGAUUUUCUUUCUUCCAAUCAGGAGCCAGCUACACAGACAUCUUCUCAAGAAGCAUCCUAGGCCCAGACAACAGCAGGUACCUUGAAGACCUUGAAGCAGAAAUGAAUUCCAGAAAGAGGAAAAAGACCAAAGUGGCUACAAUUGAUUAAGCAGGAGAUGGAGUAAAGAGUAUGAAGAAAGGAUUAUAGGACUGAGAUACAUACAUGAAAGUCCUUUUAAAAAAAUGCUAAGGUUUGCAAAUCUCAGAAGACAAAAUAAAUAGAAACUUAAAAUAGGGUGCAGAAACCUAGGAAUUGUGAAGAAUGGAGUCGGUCUGGUGUGCUGGAGAGCGCACAGGAUGGCAGACCUGAGAGUCCUGUCUUGAGUUGACCACUACCAGCUGGGUAACCUUCGAUGCUUCCUCUGUGAUAAGCACUAUGCUGAGCACCAGAGAUGAAAUUAUGAACCAAAAAAACCAAAACAGCAGUGGUGCCUGCCCCCGUGAAGCUCAUCAUCUACUACAUCUCUGUGCAGAUAUUGAUAAAGUAGUACAAAAAAUGCAAAGCCACAAGUAGAGCAAAGCACUUGAGAGGAGAGGUCCACAGUGCUGUGAAGGAAUGCAGAACAGAGUAAUGACCUAGCUGAGAAGACUUCCCUGAGAAAGUGAAAAAGUUGCUGAGAUACCAUGCUUGAGAAGUAAAGGUGACGGUUGAAAGCAGAGCCUUUUGUGUAGAGGGAAUUUCAUUUUGCAAGGCCCUGCGGUAGUUGGAAGCAAAGCUUGGAGAAAGUCAUGUUGCUGGAGCCCAGGGAACAAGGGGAGGUGAUACAGAUGUGGGGUGAAUUGGGUCAGGAGAUGGACUACAGCAGGGCUCUGUCUUUAUCCUCAUGAAAAUUUGAAGGUGUUGAAGAGCUAAAACCCAGGGAAAAGGGGUGGGAGUGCUAAGAUGCUUAGAUCAAAAACAGUGUUGCAGGUGCCACCUGGAGGGUGCAGGUUAGGAGGCCAUUCCAGCAGACCAGACAGGAACUAAUAGAGAAAUACAGACUCAGGGCUGCUCUUCUUCCCAGCGCAGCCACACAGACCUCAGCUUGUCGGUGGGGGCCUUUCCUAGCCUCCUCUGCACACAGACCUUGCAGUGACAGCCUCGGAGCAAUACCCAGAGAAGGAGGUCAGAAUAUUCGAUAGAGGGUCCUCGUGUAGAUGCAAGAGAACCUAGAACAAAGCCCCAUAGAUAAGGGGGCCUGGGCAUGCAAAAGCAGAGAGAGGAAGCACAGUCCAUAUAGUCUUCUAGGCCUGGCCCAGGGGGAAGUCAUGUGAGCAGCCUGGACACCCCCCACCCCGAACUUUCCAAUACUUGGAAAGUACCCCUGGCCAGGACCUCAUUAGAGGCACCGGAGACCUCACAACCAACUCGGGGAAGAUAAAAGUUUAUUUGAAGCCUGAAGAAAAAGUGCUCUCUAUUUAAAGGGAACACAAAGGGUCCUUAGGAGCUUCUUCCCCCCACCUCCCUUGGCAGAUAUUGACUUACAAACCGAUCUCACUCCAGUGGUUGGAAUAUAUCUAUUUCCAAUCCUUGUACAUCUACCCUAUGAAUUGCAAUUUGAUGAAGCCAUAUGAACAACUAAUAAAGUCUCCGUGUAAAAAUGCUAUA
Long non-coding RNA from Canis lupus familiaris (dog), 1700 nucleotides. RefSeq lists it as uncharacterized. The record is from RefSeq and is a predicted model, not a curated record. NCBI's taxonomy places the organism in Eukaryota, Metazoa, Chordata, Mammalia, Carnivora, Canidae. The transcript has 5 exons.